GACGCCAUUUUGUUUUUGACAAUUUUCUCUCAGUUUUCUGUUUGGGUCUGCUAAAGAUUGCUUUUUAUAAAUGAAAUAUAGUAGUUAGAAGUUUAAUUAUUGAAAAACAAUAUUUUAUCUUAAUUAUUGCUCCAACUUUAUCAGCAAUAAAAAUUAUGCGCGACCGUCAAAUAAUUGAGUAUGUACAUUUUUGGAUGAAGUUAAGAGUUGUCUAAAAGUUUUCAAGUUGAUUUUAUGCUUGGAAUAUCAUUUACAACCUUUUGAUUGGAUAUAGAAUGAUUUGGUGAUUUAUUGUGGAUACCAAUACCUGAUUAUAUCCUGAAAUUAAGCCUGAAUAAAGGGAUUCAACUCUUCACAUCUAACAUUCAAGGUAUAGGCCUAUCUUCAUUGGAGAUUAUAUAAUCAUUCAAACGAAAUCGUAACUUGAGAUUUUGUUCUACAAUAUUCAUGUAUUUGAACCACGACAACCUGAUUCAACUCUUCAUGCAACAUACAAGAAUACAAGUGUAUUGAAAUGUGGAAGCAGAAUGAUCGCGCAGAGGAAUCUUACUGCUUUGGGAGAAUACCUAGACGAUUUCAGAAGACUUGGGGAAGAAAGUUACUGCUCUAAUCUCCAGCCUUGGAUUACUUCACAACCUGAUGCAUUAUAUACAACCAUACGGAAUUUUCUUCAGGAAAGGGAAUCGGCAGUCGACUAUAGGAUACCUAGGACUGAUUCUAUUUUCUCCAAAAUAAACUCAUUUUUAUCUUAUGAUUUUUUUCAUUCAUCUUAUUAUUUUAUGAUUUAUUAAUUUAUAAUAAAAUAUUGUUUUUUGUUUACAUCAUUUUAUUUUAUCAUUCAAUUCAUUUUUAUUUCAUCAUUCGUUAUUUUCAUUUAUUAUAUUUUUUAUUUCAUUUGUCAUUGUAUUGAAGAGUUGUUGUUGGUUCAUGAGUGAAUUGAUCUCGGGACGUUACUAUUAUUCCUGUCUAGUUCAUUUCCGCUAUGAUUUUCAAAGCUGGGUUAUCCUAAUAGUCAUGAAGCUUCAUUGUUUUAUAAUCCCAAUUUAUAAUUAUUUUGGAAAUAUAUUCUGUGUCGACUUGUAUACCCCCACCCUUCUGUAUCCAAGGAUACUUUCACUACAAAUUCAAUCAUAUUUGUCAAUGUUUUUCCAAUUGCUGUGUUGUGUAUUUUAACUGUAUUCUAUUGGGUGGAAUAAAAUAUACUAAUUGUAUUUAUAGAAAUAUCCGUAGGCUUUUAAUUACCAAUCAUUGAGUAUUUAUUUUCCCCCAAAACAAUCUGAGAUAAAGUCCCUCUAUUGAUCGAGGAGGUAGCCAUUUUGAGUCAACUUAUUGAAAGUGUGUUUAGAGUGAGUUUUAAUAGCGUUCUUUGAAGCAGCCGCACACAGGGACAAUAGUAGCGUCCACUAGCUGUGGUGGGAACACGGAAGUGGGAAUGUGAUAUACAUUUGAGUAGUGGUCAUUCCUAAUUCCGCGUUCCCCUAGCAGCUAAUAACCGCUACUGAUGAACCUGUGUGCAACGAGCUUUAGUACUGGUCUAUAAAUUCAGGGCACAGACUUUAUAGAUUAAUCAUUCAUGUUGAUGUGCCUAUAAAAUGACAUAAUUUGAUUGUUAUGAUGGUUGAUAAGCAAGCAAGCGCAGACUAUUGACAGAGUACUGUCAACAUUGAAGAGAAAGU
Molecule: long non-coding RNA, 1676 nt
Filed under: Nilaparvata lugens (brown planthopper)
Lineage: Eukaryota; Metazoa; Arthropoda; Insecta; Hemiptera; Delphacidae
Description: uncharacterized LOC111052578
Source: RNAcentral